Molecule: ribosomal RNA, 470 nt
Filed under: Salmonella enterica
Lineage: Bacteria; Pseudomonadati; Pseudomonadota; Gammaproteobacteria; Enterobacterales; Enterobacteriaceae
Description: bacterial SSU rRNA
Rfam family: Bacterial small subunit ribosomal RNA
Source: RNAcentral
GAGUAAUGUCUGGGAAACUGCCUGAUGGAGGGGGAUAACUACUGGAAACGGUGGCUAAUACCGCAUAACGUCGCAAGACCAAAGAGGGGGACCUUCGGGCCUCUUGCCAUCAGAUGUGCCCAGAUGGGAUUAGCUUGUUGGUGAGGUAACGGCUCACCAAGGCGACGAUCCCUAGCUGGUCUGAGAGGAUGACCAGCCACACUGGAACUGAGACACGGUCCAGACUCCUACGGGAGGCAGCAGUGGGGAAUAUUGCACAAUGGGCGCAAGCCUGAUGCAGCCAUGCCGCGUGUAUGAAGAAGGCCUUCGGGUUGUAAAGUACUUUCAGCGGGGAGGAAGGUGUUGUGGUUAAUAACCGCAGCAAUUGACGUUACCCGCAGAAGAAGCACCGGCUAACUCCGUGCCAGCAGCCGCGGUAAUACGGAGGGUGCAAGCGUUAAUCGGAAUUACUGGGCGUAAAGCGCACGCAG